RNAcentral lists this ribosomal RNA (1330 nucleotides) under Thermocyclops decipiens. RNAcentral's name for it is "SSU rRNA". It matches the Rfam family "Eukaryotic small subunit ribosomal RNA", at positions 302 to 1651 of the family's 1831-position model. Lineage: Eukaryota; Metazoa; Arthropoda; Copepoda; Cyclopoida; Cyclopidae. The record is from RNAcentral.
AAGGUGUGACCUAUCAACUGUCGACUGUGGCAUAGACGCCCACAGUGGUUUUGACGGGUAACGGGGAAUUAGGGUUCGAUUCCGGAGAGGGAGCCUGAGAAACGGCUACCACUUCUAAGGAAGGCAGCAGGCACGCAAAUUACCCACUGGCCGAAGGCCGAGGUAGUGACGAAAAAUAACGAUACCAGACUCAUCCGAGGCCUGGUAAUCGGAAUGAGCACACUUUAAAUCCUUUAGCGAGGAACCAUUGGAGGGCAAGUCUGGUGCCAGCAGCCGCGGUAAUUCCAGCUCCAAUAGCGUAUAUUAAAUUUGUUGCGGUUAAAAAGCUCGUAGUUUGAUUUCGGCGAGCAGGGGGCGGUUCGUUAUUUGACGUAACUGCCCCAUUUGCUCGUGUUUCUUCGGCAGAACUCCCAGGGUGCUCUUCGCCGAGUGUCCUGUUGGGGGCUGCCAGGUUUACUUUGAAAAAAUUAGAGUGCUCCAAGCAGGCUCGACACGCCUGAAUAUUUGUGCAUGGAAUAAUGGAAUAGGACGUCGUUCCUAUUUUGUUGGUUUUAGGGAAUCGACGUAAUGAUUAAUAGGGACAGUCGGGGGCAUUAGUAUUCAGACGACAGAGGUGAAAUUCUUGGACCGUCUGGCGACUCACUGCUGCGAAAGCGUUUGCCAAGUAUGUUUUCAUUAAUCAAGAACGAAAGUUAGAGGUUCGAAGGCGAUCAGAUACCGCCCUAGUUCUAACCAUAAACGAUGCCAGCUAGCGAUCCGCAGAUGUUUUUAUUGUAGGCUCUGCGGGAAGCUUCCGGGAAACCAAAGCUUUUGGGUUCCGGGGGAAGUAUGGUUGCAAAGCUGAAACUUAAAGAAAUUGACGGAAGGGCACCACCAGGCGUGGAACUUGCGGCUUAAUUUGACUCAACACUGGAAAUCUCACCAGGCCCGGACACCGGAAGGAUUGACAGAUUGAGAGCUCUUUCUCGAUUCGGUGGGUGGUGGUGCAUGGCCGUUCUUAGUUGGUGGAGUGAUUUGUCUGGUUAAUUCCGAUAACGAACGAGACUCCGUCCUGCUAAAUAGUUGUAACGUCACACGUGCGUUGCAAAUUCUUCUUAGAGGGACUGGCGGCAUCUAGCCGCACGAGAUGGAGCAAUAACAGGUCUGUGAUGCCCUUAGAUGUUCUGGGCCGCACGCGUGUUACACUGAAGGGAUCAACGUGUCUUCCCUGACCGAGAGGUCCGGGUAACCCGCUGAACCCCCUUCGUGGUAGGGAUCGGAGCUUGCAAUUAUUCUCCGUGAACCAGGAAUGCCCAGUAAGUGCAAGUCAUAAGCUUGCAUUGAUUACGUC